This 257-nucleotide ribosomal RNA is filed under the name uncultured bacterium. Its description in RNAcentral is "partial 16S ribosomal RNA". It matches the Rfam family "Bacterial small subunit ribosomal RNA", at positions 1245 to 1500 of the family's 1533-position model. The record is from RNAcentral.
CGAAGCGAAGCAGCGAUGUGAAGCAAAUCGCACCAAAGCCGGUCCCAGUUCGGAUAAGAGGCUGAAACUCGCCUCUUUGAAGUCGGAAUCGCUAGUAAUCGCGGAUCAGCAUGCCGCGGUGAAUACGUUCCCGGGCCUUGUACACACCGCCCGUCACACCAUGAGAGUUUGUAACACCCAAAGCCGGUGGGGUAACCUUUUGGAGCCAGCCGUCUAAGGUGGGACAGAUGAUUGGGGUGAAGUCGUAACAAGGUAGC